GGAUUAGAUACCCUGGUAGUCCACGCUGUAAACGAUGUCGAUUUGGAGUUUGUUGCCUAGAGUGAUGGGCUCCGAAGCUAACGCGAUAAAUCGACCGCCUGGGGAGUACGGCCGCAAGGUUAAAACUCAAAUGAAUUGACGGGGGCCCGCACAAGCGGUGGAGCAUGUGGUUUAAUUCGAUGCAACGCGAAGAACCUUACCUGGUCUUGACAUCCAUAGAAUUCUGCAGAGAUGUGGGAGUGCCUUCGGGAACUAUGAGACAGGUGCUGCAUGGCUGUCGUCAGCUCGUGUUGUGAAAUGUUGGGUUAAGUCCCGCAACGAGCGCAACCCUUAUUCUUUGUUGCCAGCGAUUUGGUCGGGAACUCAAAGGAGACUGCCGUUGAUAAAGCGGAGGAAGGUGGGGACGACGUCAAGUCAUCAUGGCCCUUACGACCAGGGCUACACACGUGCUACAAUGGCGUAUACAAAGGGAAGCGAAGGUGCGAGCUGGAGCGGAUCUCAUAAAGUACGUCUAAGUUCGGAUUGGAGUCUGCAACUCGACUCCAUGAAGUCGGAAUCGCUAGUAAUCGUAGAUCAGAAUGCUACGGUGAAUACGUUCCCGGGCCUUGUACACACCGCCCGUCACACCAUGGGAGUGGGUUGCACCAGAAGUAGAUAGCUUAACCGCGAGGGGGGCGUUUACCACGGUGUGAUUCAUGACUGGGGUGAAGUCGUAACAAGGUAACCA
RNAcentral lists this ribosomal RNA (727 nucleotides) under uncultured Enterobacteriaceae bacterium. RNAcentral's name for it is "bacterial SSU rRNA". It matches the Rfam family "Bacterial small subunit ribosomal RNA", at positions 775 to 1502 of the family's 1533-position model. The record is from RNAcentral. Lineage: Bacteria; Pseudomonadati; Pseudomonadota; Gammaproteobacteria; Enterobacterales; Enterobacteriaceae.